AGUAUUUAUACAAGAUUUUGCUGAACUUGUGAUCAAAAACUUAAAGGCAAGUGCAAAAAUAAAUCUUUGUUGGCAAUUCAGAAUUCAGUGUUCAAUAUGAGUUUGAUAUAUAUAAGUAGGCAGAUAUU
Meriones unguiculatus (Mongolian gerbil) is the source of this 128-nucleotide small nucleolar RNA. The record is from Ensembl. Lineage: Eukaryota; Metazoa; Chordata; Mammalia; Rodentia; Muridae.